This 75-nucleotide transfer RNA is filed under the name Streptomyces sp. H27-H1. RNAcentral's name for it is "tRNA-Pro". It matches the Rfam family "tRNA". Rfam says of the family: Transfer RNA (tRNA) molecules are approximately 80 nucleotides in length. Their secondary structure includes four short double-helical elements and three loops (D, anti-codon, and T loops). Lineage: Bacteria; Bacillati; Actinomycetota; Actinomycetes; Kitasatosporales; Streptomycetaceae. The record is from RNAcentral.
CGGGACGUAGCGCAGAGGUAGCGCACCCGGUUUGGGACCGGGAGGCCGCAGGUUCGAACCCUGCCGUCCCGACCA